GAUGAACGCUGGCGGCGUGCCUAAUACAUGCCAGUCGAGCGAACGGACGAGAAGCUUGCUUCUCUGAUGUUAGCGGCGGACGGGUGAGUAACACGUGGAUAACCUACCUAUAAGACUGGGAUAACUUCGGGAAACCGGAGCUAAUACCGGAUAAUAUUUUGAACCGCAUGGUUCAAAAGUGAAAGACGGUCUUGCUGUCACUUAUAGAUGGAUCCGCGCUGCAUUAGCUAGUUGGUAAGGUAACGGCUUACCAAGGCAACGAUGCAUAGCCGACCUGAGAGGGUGAUCGGCCACACUGGAACUGAGACACGGUCCAGACUCCUACGGGAGGCAGCAGUAGGGAAUCUUCCGCAAUGGGCGAAAGCCUGACGGAGCAACGCCGCGUGAGUGAUGAAGGUCUUCGGAUCGUAAAACUCUGUUAUUAGGGAAGAACAUAUGUGUAAGUAACUGUGCACAUCUUGACGGUACCUAAUCAGAAAGCCACGGCUAACUACGUG
This 497-nucleotide ribosomal RNA is filed under the name uncultured bacterium. RNAcentral's name for it is "partial 16S ribosomal RNA". It matches the Rfam family "Bacterial small subunit ribosomal RNA", at positions 28 to 507 of the family's 1533-position model. The record is from RNAcentral.